Puntigrus tetrazona (Sumatra barb) is the source of this 553-nucleotide long non-coding RNA. RefSeq lists it as uncharacterized. The record is from RefSeq and is a predicted model, not a curated record. Lineage: Eukaryota; Metazoa; Chordata; Actinopteri; Cypriniformes; Cyprinidae. The transcript has 3 exons.
GAGAGGCAGUGCUGAGUUAAAGACACACAAACACAGACACAUUACAGCAAAAUAGCGAGAGAGGAGAGAGACAGAUGAUCAGAGCUUCAGCCGCUUGUACUGAUUUUCAAACAUUGAUCAUGAAUAUAUCGAGAGGAUCUGACUGAAUCUGUCGCUUGUGUGUGUAAAGGAGUCAAAGCGAAACCAUUUUUCCCCCCGUGGCGCACGGAUUUCUCGCCCUAUUAAUCAGUCCGAUUGCAAAUCAUCUUUACAGAAGAUAUUAGCGAUAAUCGUAUAAUUUACUGUGCAUUUGAGAAGAAAGGAUCUUUUAAACAUGGGAUGUUUGGGCAACAGCAAGACAGAGGAUCAGCGCAUCGACGAGAAGGCUCAACGAGAAGCGAAUAAAAAGAUCGAGAAACAGUUACAGAAAGAGAGACAGGCGUAUAAAGCCACACACCGCUUGCUCUUAUUAGGCGCUGGGGAAUCCGGGAAGAGCACUAUUGUCAAACAGAUGCGAAUCCUGCACGUCAACGGCUUUAACGCAGAAGAAAAGAAGCAAAAAUAUUGGAUAUCC